Molecule: ribosomal RNA, 412 nt
Filed under: Staphylococcus chromogenes
Lineage: Bacteria; Bacillati; Bacillota; Bacilli; Caryophanales; Staphylococcaceae
Description: bacterial SSU rRNA
Rfam family: Bacterial small subunit ribosomal RNA
Source: RNAcentral
UUUAUGGAGAGUUUGAUCCUGGCUCAGGAUGAACGCUGGCGGCGUGCCUAAUACAUGCAAGUCGAGCGAACUGACGAGGAGCUUGCUCCUUUGACGUUAGCGGCGGACGGGUGAGUAACACGUGGGUAACCUACCUAUAAGACUGGAAUAACUCCGGGAAACCGGGGCUAAUGCCGGAUAACAUAUCGAACCGCAUGGUUCGAUAGUGAAAGACGGUUUUGCUGUCACUUAUAGAUGGACCCGCGCCGUAUUAGCUAGUUGGUGAGGUAACGGCUCACCAAGGCAACGAUACGUAGCCGACCUGAGAGGGUGAUCGGCCACACUGGAACUGAGACACGGUCCAGACUCCUACGGGAGGCAGCAGUAGGGAAUCUUCCGCAAUGGGCGAAAGCCUGACGGAGCAACGCCGCGU